This 380-nucleotide ribosomal RNA is filed under the name uncultured eukaryote. Its description in RNAcentral is "partial 18S ribosomal RNA". It matches the Rfam family "Eukaryotic small subunit ribosomal RNA", at positions 592 to 976 of the family's 1831-position model. The record is from RNAcentral.
CAAUAGCGUAUAUUAAAGUUGUUGCAGUUAAAAAGCUCGUAGUCGGAUUUGUGGCGUACGGUGUGUUCCGGGCACUUGUUGUCUGAGUAACCUGCUGUUGCCAUCCUUGGGUGGAACCUGUGUGGCAUUAGGUUGUCGUGCAGGGGAUGCCCAUCAUUUACUGUGAAAAAAUUAGAGUGUUCAAAGCAGGCUUAUGCCGUUGAAUAUAUUAGCAUGGAAUAAUGAGAUAGGACUUUUUUGCUAUUUUGUUGGUUUGCGCAAGAAGGUAAUGAUUAAUAGGGACAGUUGGGGGUAUUCGUAUUCCAUUGUCAGAGGUGAAAUUCUUGGAUUUUUGGAAGACGAACUACUGCGAAAGCAUUUACCAAGGAUGUUUUCAUUAA